UACGUAGGGUGCGAGCGUUAAUCGGAAUUACUGGGCGUAAAGCGUGCGCAGGCGGUUAUGUUAGACAGAGGUGAAAUCCCCGGGCUCAACCUGGGAACUGCCUUUGUGACUGCAUGCCUAGAGUACGGCAGAGGGGGAUGGAAUUCCGCGUGUAGCAGUGAAAUGCGUAGAUAUGCGGAUGAACACCGAUGGCGAAGGCAAUCCCCUGGGCCUGUAAUGAAGCUCAUGCGCGAAAGCGUGGGGAGCAAACAGG
Molecule: ribosomal RNA, 253 nt
Filed under: uncultured bacterium
Lineage: Bacteria
Description: partial 16S ribosomal RNA
Rfam family: Bacterial small subunit ribosomal RNA
Source: RNAcentral